This 1149-nucleotide ribosomal RNA is filed under the name Escherichia coli. RNAcentral's name for it is "partial 23S ribosomal RNA". It matches the Rfam family "Bacterial large subunit ribosomal RNA", at positions 1 to 1191 of the family's 2925-position model. Lineage: Bacteria; Pseudomonadati; Pseudomonadota; Gammaproteobacteria; Enterobacterales; Enterobacteriaceae. The record is from RNAcentral.
GGUUAAGCGACUAAGCGUACACGGUGGAUGCCCUGGCAGUCAGAGGCGAUGAAGGACGUGCUAAUCUGCGAUAAGCGUCGGUAAGGUGAUAUGAACCGUUAUAACCGGCGAUUUCCGAAUGGGGAAACCCAGUGUGUUUCGACACACUAUCAUUAACUGAAUCCAUAGGUUAAUGAGGCGAACCGGGGGAACUGAAACAUCUAAGUACCCCGAGGAAAAGAAAUCAACCGAGAUUCCCCCAGUAGCGGCGAGCGAACGGGGAGCAGCCCAGAGUCUGAAUCAGUGUGUGUGUUAGUGGAAGCGUCUGGAAAGGCGCGCGAUACAGGGUGACAGCCCCGUACACAAAAAUGCACAUGCUGUGAGCUCGAUGAGUAGGGCGGGACACGUGGUAUCCUGUCUGAAUAUGGGGGGACCAUCCUCCAAGGCUAAAUACUCCUGACUGACCGAUAGUGAACCAGUACCGUGAGGGAAAGGCGAAAAGAACCCCGGCGAGGGGAGUGAAAAAGAACCUGAAACCGUGUACGUACAAGCAGUGGGAGCCUCUUUUAUGGGGUGACUGCGUACCUUUUGUAUAAUGGGUCAGCGACUUAUAUUCUGUAGCAAGGUUAACCGAAUAGGGGAGCCGAAGGGAAACCGAGUCUUAACUGGGCGUUAAGUUGCAGGGUAUAGACCCGAAACCCGGUGAUCUAGCCAUGGGCAGGUUGAAGGUUGGGUAACACUAACUGGAGGACCGAACCGACUAAUGUUGAAAAAUUAGCGGAUGACUUGUGGCUGGGGGUGAAAGGCCAAUCAAACCGGGAGAUAGCUGGUUCUCCCCGAAAGCUAUUUAGGUAGCGCCUCGUGAAUUCAUCUCCGGGGGUAGAGCACUGUUUCGGCAAGGGGGUCAUCCCGACUUACCAACCCGAUGCAAACUGCGAAUACCGGAGAAUGUUAUCACGGGAGACACACGGCGGGUGCUAACGUCCGUCGUGAAGAGGGAAACAACCCAGACCGCCAGCUAAGGUCCCAAAGUCAUGGUUAAGUGGGAAACGAUGUGGGAAGGCCCAGACAGCCAGGAUGUUGGCUUAGAAGCAGCCAUCAUUUAAAGAAAGCGUAAUAGCUCACUGGUCGAGUCGGCCUGCGCGGAAGAUGUAACGGGGCUAAACCAUG